Ictidomys tridecemlineatus (thirteen-lined ground squirrel) is the source of this 104-nucleotide small nuclear RNA. Lineage: Eukaryota; Metazoa; Chordata; Mammalia; Rodentia; Sciuridae. The record is from Ensembl.
GUGCUCACUUUGGUAGCACUUCUACUAAAAUUGGAAUAAUAUGGAGAUUAGCAUGUCCCCUAUACAGUGAUUACACACUAACUCAUGAAGUGCCCCGUAUUUUU